GUAGGUAAAUCCGCUUUUUAUGCCGAACCUAAUAGUACCAGGAACCUUCGGGCGAAUGGACUGAUCCUAACCAAACUUCCAAGAAAAAUCUCUAAGCUUCAGAUAUAUGCUGCCCGUACCUCAAACCGACACAGGUAGUCAAGAAGAGAAUUCUAAGGUGCUCGAGUUAAUCAUGGCUAAGGAACUAGGCAAAAUAGCCCUGUAACUUAGGAAGAAAGGGCGCCUCCGCUUGCGGAGGUCGCAGUGAAUAGAUCCAGGCGACUGUUUAUCAAAAACACAUGGCUUUGCUAAAUUGUCAAAAUGACGUAUAAGGCCUGACACCUGCCCGGUGCUGG
This 335-nucleotide ribosomal RNA is filed under the name Astrosyne radiata. Its description in RNAcentral is "partial Bacterial large subunit ribosomal RNA". It matches the Rfam family "Bacterial large subunit ribosomal RNA", at positions 1532 to 1872 of the family's 2925-position model. The record is from RNAcentral. Lineage: Eukaryota; Bacillariophyta; Fragilariophyceae; Cyclophorales; Cyclophoraceae.